AGAGUUUGAUCAUGGCUCAGAUUGAACGCUGGCGGCGUGCUUAACACAUGCAAGUCGAGCGAGAAAGCUCUCUUCGGAGAGUGAGUAGAGCGGCGCACGGGUGAGUAACGCGUGGAUAAUCUACCCUGAAGAUCGGGAUAACAGUUGGAAACGACUGCUAAUACCGGAUACCCUGCAUAUUUAACUUUAUGUGGUAAAGGUGGCCUCUAUUUAUAAGCUACCGCUUUGGGAUGAGUCCGCGUCUCAUUAGCUUGUUGGUGGGGUAAUGGCCUACCAAGGCAACGAUGAGUAGCUGGUCUGAGAGGAUGAUCAGCCACACUGGGACUGAAACACGGCCCAGACUCCUACGGGAGGCAGCAGUGGGGAAUAUUGCGCAAUGGGGGAAACCCUGACGCAGCGACGCCGCGUGCGGGAAGAAGGCCUUCGGGUCGUAAACCGCUGUCAGGAGGGAAGAAACUGUUAGGGUAUAAUACGCCCUUUCACUGACGGUACCUCCAAAGGAAGCACCGGCUAACUCCGUGCCAGCAGCCGCGGUAAUACGGAAGGUGCGAGCGUUAAUCGGAAUCACUGGGCGUAAAGCGCACGUAGGCGGCGCAUCAAGUCAGGCGUGAAAGCCCUCGGCUCAACCGGGGAAUUGCGUUUGAAACUGGUGUGCUGGAGUCUCGGAGAGGUUGGCGGAAUUCCAGGUGUAGGAGUGAAAUCCGUAGAUAUCUGGAGGAACACCGGUGGCGAAAGCGGCCAACUGGACGAGUACUGACGCUGAGUGCGAAAGCGUGGGGAGCAAACAGGAUUAGAUACCCUGGUAGUCCACGCUGUAACGA
RNAcentral lists this ribosomal RNA (821 nucleotides) under uncultured bacterium. RNAcentral's name for it is "bacterial SSU rRNA". It matches the Rfam family "Bacterial small subunit ribosomal RNA", at positions 8 to 809 of the family's 1533-position model. The record is from RNAcentral.